This 497-nucleotide ribosomal RNA is filed under the name uncultured bacterium. RNAcentral describes it as "partial 16S ribosomal RNA". It matches the Rfam family "Bacterial small subunit ribosomal RNA", at positions 28 to 507 of the family's 1533-position model. The record is from RNAcentral.
GACGAACGCUGGCGGCGUGCCUAAUACAUGCAAGUAGAACGCUGAAGAGAGGAGCUUGCUCUUCUUGGAUGAGUUGCGAACGGGUGAGUAACGCGUAGGUAACCUGCCUUGUAGCGGGGGAUAACUAUUGGAAACGAUAGCUAAUACCGCAUAACAAUGGAUGACACAUGUCAUUUAUUUGAAAGGGGCAAUUGCUCCACUACAAGAUGGACCUCCGUUGUAUUAGCUAGUAGGUGAGGUAAUGGCUCACCUAGGCGACGAUACAUAGCCGACCUGAGAGGGUGAUCGGCCACACUGGGACUGGGACACGGCCCAGACUCCUACGGGAGGCAGCAGUAGGGAAUCUUCGGCAAUGGGGGCAACCCUGACCGAGCAACGCCGCGUGAGUGAAGAAGGUUUUCGGAUCGUAAAGCUCGGUUGUAAGUCAAGAAAGGGUGUGAGAGUGGAAAGUCCACACUGUGACGGUAGCUUACCAGAAAGGGACGGCUAACUACGUG